AGAGGAAGAGAACAGCUGAGGUAUAUAUAGUGAGUGAAAGAUAUUUUUUGCAUGUUAUUCAAAUCAAGCAAUAUAUGAAGAUCAUCUAACUCUUAACGUAUCCAAAAGUAACAAAAGUUACUGCCAAAACUAACUUUGGCAGAUACAAGAUAUGUGAACUAACUUAGGAGAUACAAAAUAUGUGAUCCAACUAAUGAUUCAACUACCUCUAGCACAUAGCCACUAUUUAUAAACCUAAACAUUCAUCAAUUUUCAUAUCUUGCAAAGUUGUGGGCUAACAAUUCAUAACAAUGGCAUUAUCUACUCCCUUCCCUGCUUUUUUCCUCUUUGCAUCAACCUUUUGUUUUUUUCUUGUUCUUUCCUCAUCUUCAUCGUCUCCGAUAACCCUUCCAGUUUAUCAUAUCAAAAAGUUUAUUAGAUUACAAAUGGACUAUGAGUCAUAUGCUUUAACAAGCUUGGCUCGUGAUGAGGAAAGGCUCAAGCAUUUGACAAUUCUCCCUAGUGUAGGUCUUGGACAGUCACCUUCAUCAGUUGUUGUACCUCUAUUUGCAGAGUCUAACGGAGAGCAUGUAGUUGUACUACGGAUUGGCGAGGAAAAGAUACAAACCCAGCUGCUCUUGGACACUGGCUCUUCAAUUAUUUGGUGGCAGUGCUAUCCAUGCGAAAAAUGUUAUAAUCAGAAAAAUAUACCCAAAUAUAAUCGAAUGAGGUCUCGCUCAUUUGAAUCUAUUAGAUGCUCUUCAAACAAAUGUGAUCAAAGUCACCCGGAUAUAAGUUGUUCGCCACAAGGGCGGUGCUUUUAUCGUAUUAAAUAUUUAGAUAAUGAUACUACUUCGGGGG
This 840-nucleotide unclassified non-coding RNA is filed under the name Hevea brasiliensis (rubber tree). Lineage: Eukaryota; Viridiplantae; Streptophyta; Magnoliopsida; Malpighiales; Euphorbiaceae. The record is from RNAcentral.